AUAAGUGACUCUGAAAUUGGUGAU
Molecule: non-coding RNA, 24 nt
Filed under: Arabidopsis thaliana (thale cress)
Lineage: Eukaryota; Viridiplantae; Streptophyta; Magnoliopsida; Brassicales; Brassicaceae
Source: RNAcentral